GGCCUAAUAGGUAUGUAUAUCUAUUAAUAGUCAAUACUAAUAAAACCUGGUCACCUUAUGAAAAUAUUAAAUGAAAAAUUAACUAAACCAAAUAAAAGAAAAUACAAACAUAAAUGUCUUUGUAGAAAAGAAGAGAGAAGAGGGUACAAAAAGCAUAGUUUAAUGCACACACAAUAUGAGGACUAUCACAAUAUAUAAUCAAGAUAUCACCAUCUCUCCAACCUUGAAGUGUCAUCCUUCGUGCCAUCAAGGCUCUUGGCAACCAAAUCAAACAAC
This 276-nucleotide long non-coding RNA is filed under the name Spirodela polyrhiza (greater duckweed). RNAcentral's name for it is "long non-coding RNA (SPOL_LNC000641)". Lineage: Eukaryota; Viridiplantae; Streptophyta; Magnoliopsida; Alismatales; Araceae. The record is from RNAcentral.